AGCUAAUAGAUACCCUGGUAGUCCACGCCCUAAACGAUGUCUACUAGUUGUUGGUGGAGUAAAAUCCAUGAGUAAACGCAGCUAACGCGUGAAGUAGACCGCCUGGGGAGUACGGUCGCAAGAUUAAAACUCAAAGGAAUUAACGGGGGCCCGCACAAGCGGUGGAUUAUGUGGAUUAAAUUCGAUGCAACGCGAAAAACCUUACCUGGCCUUGACAUGCCACUAACGAAGCAGAGAUGCAUUAGGUGCCCGUAAGGGAAAGUGGACACAGGUGCUGCAUGGCUGUCGUCAGCUCGUGUCGUGAGAUGUUGGGUUAAGUCCCGCAACGAGCGCAACCCUUGCCAUUAAUUGCCAUCAUUUAGUUGGGCACUUUAAUGGGACUGCCGGUGACAAACCGGAGGAAGGUGGGGAUGACGUCAAGUCCUCAUGGCCCUUAUGGCCAGGGCUUCACACGUAAUACAAUGGUCGGUACAGAGAGUUGCCAACCCGCGAGGGGAGCUAAUCUCAGAAAGCCGAUCGUAGUCCGGAUUGUUCU
Molecule: ribosomal RNA, 535 nt
Filed under: uncultured bacterium
Lineage: Bacteria
Description: bacterial SSU rRNA
Rfam family: Bacterial small subunit ribosomal RNA
Source: RNAcentral